This 253-nucleotide ribosomal RNA is filed under the name uncultured bacterium. RNAcentral describes it as "partial 16S ribosomal RNA". It matches the Rfam family "Bacterial small subunit ribosomal RNA", at positions 524 to 776 of the family's 1533-position model. The record is from RNAcentral.
UACAGAGGGGGCAAGCGUUGUUCGGAAUUACUGGGCGUAAAGGGCUCGUAGGCGGCCAACUAAGUCAGACGUGAAAUCCCUCGGCUUAACCGGGGAACUGCGUCUGAUACUGGAUGGCUAGAGGUUGGGAGAGGGAUGCGGAAUUCCAGGUGUAGCGGUGAAAUGCGUAGAUAUCUGGAGGAACACCGGUGGCGAAGGCGGCAUCCUGGACCGGUAUUGACGCUGAGGCGCGAAAGCCAGGGGAGCAAACGGG